This 2060-nucleotide ribosomal RNA is filed under the name anaerobic digester metagenome. RNAcentral's name for it is "bacterial LSU rRNA". It matches the Rfam family "Bacterial large subunit ribosomal RNA", at positions 354 to 2354 of the family's 2925-position model. The record is from RNAcentral.
CCACAGAAGGUGAUAGCCCUGUAAGUGAAAAUUAAUUUACACUUCUUGUUAUCUUUCCUAAGUACCGUCGGAUCAAGAAAAGUCGGCGGGAAUCCAGCAGGACUACCUGCUAAGGCUAAAUACAAUCUAGUCACCGAUAGUGAACCAGUACCGUGAGGGAAAGGUGAAAAGCAGUCCGAUAAGGACGGUGAAAUAGAACCUGAAACCAUUAUGCCUACAAGGAGUCAGAGCUAUUUUUUAAAUAGUGAUGGCGUGCGUUUUGCAGAACGAGCCAACGAGUUUUUCUUGUCAAUUGUCUAAGUGCUUAUGGCACGUAAGCUUAGGGAAACCAAGUCUUAACAGGGCGAUUAAAAAUUGGCAGGAAAAGACCCGAAGCCAGACGAGCUUACCAUGACCAGGAUGAAACUUGCAGAAAUGCAAGCGGAGGUCCGAACCCGUAGGUCGUGCAAUUCCUUGGGAUGAGUUGUGGUAAGGAGUGAAAAGCUAAUCGAGUUUGGUAAUAGCUGGUUCUUCCCGAAAUAGUUUUAGGGCUAGCCUCGCUUAUUUUGCUUUGGGGGUAGAGCACUGAAAGAGGUAUCAUUGGGCUUCGGCUCGGAUUCUUCUAUCAAACUCCGAAUACCAAAGUAUUUAGAGCGGGAGUCAGACUGUGGGAGCUAAGUUCCAUAGUCGCGAGGGAAACAGCCCAGACCAUCAUCUAAGGUCCCUAAAUCUAAACUAAGUGCAAAGAAGGAGGUGAGAUUUCUCAGAUAGUUAGGAGGUUAGCUUAGAAGCAGCUACCCUUUAAAAAGUGCGUAAUAGCUUACUAAUUAAGAGAUUUUGCGCCGAAGAUUAACGGGGCUCAAGUUUAGUACCGAAGAUAUGGGGUUAUUACUUUUUGUAAUAAUCGGUAGGGAAGCGUUCCUAUUGCACUGAAGCUAAAUCGUGAGGUUUAGUGGAGCGAUAGGAAGUGAGAAUGUUGGCAUAAGUAACCGCAAUUAUGGUGAGAUUCCAUAACGCCGUAAAUCUAAGGUUUCCUUAGCAAUGAUAAUCAGCUAAGGGUUAGGCGGGCCUUAGGAGAAGCCGAAAGGUUUAUCUGAUGGACAGCAGGCUUAAUAUUCCUGCCCUUCAGUAUUCUUCUUUAUAAGUGACGCAACUUUGUAGUCAAAAUAGAUUAUUGGAUUUUUAUUUUGAUGAGUGAGUUGCCAGGAAAAGCUUUUUAAAGGUUAAGAAUAUUGAAACCGUACCGCAAACCAACACAGGUAGAUGAGUAUAAAUGUACUAAGGCGAACAAGUGAAAGCUCCUGAAGGAAUUCGGCAAAAAAGUGGUCGUAACUUCGGAAUAAGACCUUCCUUUGCAUUUAUGUAAAGGACGCAGCUAACGUAUCUCAAGCGACUGUUUAUCAAAAACACAGGUCCCUGCUUAACUCGUAAGAGGAUGUAUAGGGGCUGAGGCCUGACCAGUGCCGGAGUGUUAAGAGUGGCGGUUGUCUCACUUUCACUUUAUAAUAAGAAGGGUUACUUCCUAGGAAUAAAUUAAAUUAAAGUAAAUAUUAACAAAAUUAAAGUGUCUUUAUCAAAUAGAAACUAGGUAGUAAUUUCAACUAUUGUAACGUGUAAGUGGGACAGCUGAUUGCUUCAAGCUUCCGGUGAACGUCCGCGGUAACUCUGACCGUGUUAAAGUAGCGUAAUCCCUUGUCGGGUAAGUUCCGACCCGCAUGAAAGGCUUAACGACUUGAGAACUGUCUCCAGGAGUUGCUUGGUGAAAUUGCAGUGGAGGUGAAAAUGCCUCCUACCUGUGGCUAGACGAGAAGACCCCAGGAGCUUUACUAUACCCUGGUAUUGAAUUAUGGCUUUAAAUGCGUAGAAUAGGUGGGAGACUAUGAUGUCAUGCUUCCGGGCGUGACGGAGUCGCCAGUGAAAUACCACUCUUUUAUUGUCAUGGUUCUAACCUCCAUGCUUUAUUUAGAGCAUGGGGAGACAGUGCUUGGUUGGUAGUUUAAGUGGGGCGCUUUCCUCCUAAAAAGUAGCGGAGGAGUUUAAAGGUUGGCUAGAUCCGGAUGGAAAUCGGAUUGGUCCUACAA